This 3179-nucleotide long non-coding RNA is filed under the name Homo sapiens (human). RNAcentral's name for it is "HSALNT0352042". The record is from RNAcentral. Lineage: Eukaryota; Metazoa; Chordata; Mammalia; Primates; Hominidae.
CUCCUGACCCCCAAAUUCUCAACCAUGUCUGCCAAGUUAUUUUUGACAUAUUCAUAAGUAAUGAUCAUAGAUUCCAGAUAUUAGGACAAUGAUGUCUUUAGUGGGUGUAUUAUUCAUUCCACAAACAACCCUCAUCAUCCACACAAUGGUCUUCCCCUAAGGUAGAAUAAAAAUAUCACAAGGCAGAUUUACGAGGCGAUCGACCUAGAAAAAACCUGAGAAUCUAGGACUGUCUGAUGUGUGGAUGUCAAAUCCUGGGAGAUUCUGAGUCUCUGCUCUAUGUGGACUCUAUGUUGUGUAGCCAUUUGUGGAAGGCUUCUGUGAUUUUGUGACCUAGAGAAAAUGAAUCUCUGCUAAAAUCAAAUCUAAGAAAGAUUGGCAAAGGGAAUUUAAAGAUUUCCUAAAUUUUUGGAAUUUCCCUAUGCAUUAAAGCAUGAGAAGUGGCAAUAAUUCAAACCAAUGAUGCCCUCCAAGAAUGAGGAUUUUUCCAAUGCAUUAGGUUGGGUCCCCUCAGUGAGAAGGAUGCCAAAGAUUCGCAUGCAGGCAGUAUAUUUACAAAGUGCGGGAAACAAGCAAAUGAGCAAGGGAGGGGAGGAGGGAAAGGGAAAGUGAAAGGUGCCUCAGAAGGAGCCACCUCUGAGGAUGACGAGAGCUCAAGCCCACAUAGAAACACAGGAAAAAUGCCUCUGUUAUUCCACCUGAGAGGUGAGGGAGCUGCGGGAUGUGUACACCUCCCUUGUCAUCACUGAUUGACAGCCGUCCUAGGGGAUGCUAAUUCCAGGCCAUGAGGUCUGCCUCAUUUGCAGCCUGAGCUGCUUCCCCAGGUUCAGACAGAGCAGUGAAGGGGAGAAAGGGCCAUAGAGAGUCAGCUGAAGUAUAAUGACUAGAAUCCCCAAGGCGUAGUAACAAUGACUGCUAAAAUUAUGCACAAAGAAAAAGCGCAUUUGAAUCCAGAGAUGUAUCUCUCUGAAUCUGGAUAUAUGGAUCCUGGCAGCCUGUUCAGUAGCCAUUUCCCAGAAAUCCAGUUCUCUGGAAAAGCAGCAGGAGGUUUGUGCACAGGCUGCACUACCUUGGUCUGGCCACUGGUAGUCGUGCAUGAGAACUACUUCCUGGAGUAUUUCUCAGUCCACUGACACUGAUGUAAUUGGCUCCACUUCCCCUGCUGUUGAGCCAGGCCGACACGCCCUGGGCAAAGGCAUCUGUGUGAAGUAUUGAGGUUCAAAUCAGUGCUUAAGAUAUGUUUGGAGGCAAAAUACUUUUUCAUCUACAUGGGCAGUGUCUUGGCAGAAGAUGGAGAUUCUCUCUAAAUGGAUGUGAGACAGGGUGGCUGGCAUCUGGGUCAGGAUGAUGCCCUGGUGCAUGGCAAGAACAUGCAUUGGGCAGCAGCUGCCCUCGCUAAGCAGAGAGGUUCACUGACCUGGCUUUUCCCCCCUCACCUGCUCUCCAGAAAGCCAGACUCUAGGGCAGAUGCUCCUGAGACCCCAGGAACAGGCUGGUGGGGAGCGCAGCUCAGAGCAUUACUCAAGGGAUGUGGCCUUUGUCAUCCUACUUUGAAACAAUUGAUUAUUUGAGCCUACAUUGAUAGAGGGCUUCAAGUUGAUUUUAAUCCUGGCUCCUAUAGUCCGCGAGUGAAACAGAGAUUUUGAAAUAAUGAGACCUGGUAUUACUAGUCAGCUCUCCAUGCUGGAGAACCAUAAGAAAUUAUACCAAAGGCAGGAAAGGGGAUAGAAUAUGGGGAUCAUCACGCCAAGAAUAAGGUGCAGCCCAUUUAGCCCCUGGGUCUUAAAGAGACCCAUAGCUCUGGAUAAUGGCAGAUCUAUGCGUGACACAUUAUCAUCUUUGUGCAUCUUCAGAGAAUUGUUUUUCCUUUUACUCCUAGGAACAAUGUCUUAAGUUUGUUAGUAAAUUCUAUUGAAUUUAUUAAAGAUGCUUCUGAUAAAUUCUUUUUAUAUUCAUUUCAAAAAAGAAGCAAUUUCACACUGACAGAGACAUUGUUAUUAUAGCACUAAAUACUUUUACACUCAUCAAAUUCCUUUGAGACUAACUGAAAUUUCUGACAGCCCCACACUCUAUAACUUUAUUGUAAAUUUUCUGCCAAAAAUGAUGCUUUCCUAUACACUCUUAAUACAAGUAUAAAUAUAUUAUUUAAUCUAGUCUUAGGUUGAUUUAAAAUUUUGAAAAUUCACUCCAAAAAUAUGUUCUGUAACCAUAUGGCCACCAAUGAGAAGUGUACUCUUUCAAGGUAAAUCUGUGCUGCCCUGGUCUGACCUGGGACUCUGGGGAUACUGCGCCCGUGUGCUGAGUUACUGAGAUGAGCCAGCCCUGCAGCUGUGCUCAGCCUGCCCCAUCCCCUGCUGAUUUGCCUGUUCCUAGAGCACAGCCCCCUGCCCUGAAGACUUCUUAUAGGCUGGCCACACCUGGUGCAGGAGUCAGCCCCAGUCAGGACACAGCACGGACGUGAGGGCCCCCACUCAGCUCCUGGGGCUCCUGGGGCUCCUGGGGCUCUGGCUGCCAGGUGCCAGAUGUGACAUCCAGAUGACCCAGUCUCCAUCCUCCCUGUCUGCAUCUGUAGGAGGCAGAGUCACCAUCACUUGCCGGGCGAGUCAGGGCAUUAGCAAUAAUUUAAAUUGGUAUCAGCAGAAACCAAGGAAAACUCCUAAGCUCCUGAUCUAUGCUGCAUCCAGUCUGCAAAGUGGGAUUCCCUCUCGGUUCAGUGACAGUGGAUCUGGGACAGAUUACACUCUCACCAUCAGCAGCCUGCAGCCUGAAGAUUUUGCAACUUAUUACUGUCAACAGAGUGACAGUAACCCUCCCACAGUGUUACAAGUCAUAACAUAAACCCCAAGGAAGCAGAUGUGUGAGGCUGGGCUGCCCCAAUGCUCCUUCUGGUGCCUCUAUCUGCUGAGGGAAGUUCUCAAACUCAGUCAGGUUUGGAAAGUCAUCGGGAGAUUUUCCUAGAGGAGGCCAGGGAGGUUCCUCUGAACGCUAAGCCUCUUUCGCCCUCAUCCCCAACAGAAAAGACGUGACAAUGCCUGUCCUGACUGAAUAAAGAAGAGAGAUAAGUCCAGCUGAGGAGUCUGUGUUAUGGGAUAAUCGGAAUUUGUACAGCAAAAGAGAAGCUAUUCUCAGUAUUUCAAGGAGAAAUUAUUCAAGUUGAAUAAAUUAGAGUCUAAACCACA